GAACUGCGAUAAGUAAUGUGAAUUGCAGAAUUCAGUGAAUCAUCGAGUCUUUGAACGCACAUUGCGCCCCCUGGCAUUCCGGGGGGCAUGCCUGUCCGAGCGUCAUUGCUGCCCUUCAAGCCCGGCUUGUGUGUUGGGUCGUCGUCCCCUCCGCGGGACGGGCCCGAAAGGCAGCGGCGGCACCGCGUCCGGUCCUCGAGCGUAUGGGGCUUUGUCACCCGCUCGAUAAGGACCGGCCGGGCGCCAGCCGGCGUCUCCAACCUUUUUUUCUCAGGUUGACCUCGGAUCAGGUAGGGAUACCCGCUGAACUUAAGC
This 315-nucleotide unclassified non-coding RNA is filed under the name plant metagenome. RNAcentral's name for it is "partial contains 5.8S ribosomal RNA, internal transcribed spacer 2, and large subunit ribosomal RNA". The stretch from base 1 to 105 matches the Rfam family "5.8S ribosomal RNA", at positions 50 to 154 of the family's 154-position model. The record is from RNAcentral.